ACCCUGACCAAAACAGACCGCGCACGCGUCAUCCAGCCUGCCGGCGACGGCACCGUUCAUCGCUUGGCCAAGUCCUCGACAACCUCCUCUCCUCGGAAUGGGGGCUCGGGGUAAAAGAACCCACGGCGCCAAAGGCGUCAAGGAACACUGUGCCUAGCCCGGGGACGCGGCUGGCUUGCUGGCCGCCCCCCGUGCUGGAAUGCUAUUUAAUCCACACGACUCUCGGCAACGGAUAUCUCGGCUCUCGCAUCGAUGAAGAACGUAGCGAAAUGCGAUACCUGGUGUGAAUUGCAGAAUCCCGCGAACCAUCGAGUCUUUGAACGCAAGUUGCGCCCGAGUCCAUUUGGCCGAGGGCACGCCUGCCUGGGCGUCACGCCAAACACGCUCCUGCCCCCUCAUCGUGGGAGCGGGAUGCGGCAAUGUGGCCCCCCGUCAUGCAAGUGGCGGUGGGCCUAAGAUAUGGCUGCCGGCGUAUCGUGCCGGACACAGCGCGUGGUGGGCGACCUCGCUUUACUUACCGCAGUGCAUCCGAUGCGUAGCCGACGUGAUGGCCUUGAAGGACCCUAGAAACGGNGCAGACGACGCUCC
RNAcentral lists this ribosomal RNA (588 nucleotides) under Scolochloa festucacea. Its description in RNAcentral is "eukaryotic LSU rRNA". The stretch from base 218 to 373 matches the Rfam family "5.8S ribosomal RNA". The record is from RNAcentral. Lineage: Eukaryota; Viridiplantae; Streptophyta; Magnoliopsida; Poales; Poaceae.